UUCUAAUAAAAUAUAACAUAUAAAUUUAGAAAAUAUUUUAUUCUAAAUUUUUGAAUAAACAUAAUUUACAAAUAUUUAUUGAUUUAAAAUAAAUUAAAAUAACUGUUACGUGCAGUUGCACGUAUGUCUCAACUAGUAUAUAUAUAAUGCAAAAUAAAUUUGGGUUUGGGUCGGAUUCGGAUUCAGGUCGGGUAUAGUCAUAAUCCAUAUCCGUUGGAUUUUUAUUUUCGAUAUCCACAUCCGAAUCCAUAUCCGUUUAGCAUUAAAUAUAUCUGUGCCAUUCGAAUUCGGGUAAUAUUUCAAGUAUUUGUACCCAUCGACAUCCCUAAUGAUGGAUGAGAAUGACGGGUGCAAAAUGGCUGAAAUGAAUGCUUUUACUUGGCUAAAAAAAGGCUUAAUUAUAUACAACUCCUUGUAAAUAUAGUGAACACCAAAUAUAUCUCAACAAAGUUCAACUUUUAACUCUUAUCCCUACAAAAGUCCAGUGAUACCGUUAGAGAACUGUUUAUUUUUUAACAGCAGAUAAGUGAAAUGUCAAUUUUGUCAUCACAAAUACAUCUCUCCAAAAGCCCCAGCUGUUAUAAUCGUGCAGAAAUAUCUAUCCAAAAAAUUUUCAAUGGUCAUCUUUUUCUUUUUAACACCCAACUCAAUCCACCAUUGUUGCAAUCUCUUCUCUCGCUCUUUUUUUUUUCUAAACUUUUUUUUGAGCAAAAAUAUAUAUAAAAAAAUGAUAGAUGAAAUUGAAUAAGAAAGCAACACAAGUUUGAUAUGGGCGAAAUAACAUUCGUCGUGAAUGAAUGGAGACGGAGAAAUUCUAAUUGCGGAUUCGAAACUAGCAUAAAUGAGAGAGAGGAAGGGGCGAAACUAGCAUAAAGAAAAGAGAAGAAGAGGAAGAAGAAGAAGGGUUUCUAUUGCUAGAGUUUUGAUUGAGAGGUGUAAUAUAAGAGAGAUAAAGAUAUCAAUUUACCUUAUUAACUAAUCAGAAUUAAGUAUUUUACCUCUGAUUAACUAAAUUUUUCUAAUGGAUCCUACCAAUAGGGGCAUAUUUAAAAACAUUAAGACUUUUGCACGGAUAACAUAAAAAUAUAUUUAUAAUUUGCUAUGUUUACAGAAAGUUGUAUAUAAUUAACCCAAAAAAAAUGACUCUCUCAAUAAAUCUUAUGAAAUAGCUUUUUUAGGCCUCUAUAUUGGAUAUUAUAGUUAUUUUUUUAUUAUUAAUAAAAUUUUAUAUAUUAAAAAAUGUAAGAAUGAGCGGUGAAUUAUUUGUAAUUUUUU
This 1275-nucleotide long non-coding RNA is filed under the name Ananas comosus (pineapple). RNAcentral's name for it is "long non-coding RNA (ACOM_LNC014815)". Lineage: Eukaryota; Viridiplantae; Streptophyta; Magnoliopsida; Poales; Bromeliaceae. The record is from RNAcentral.